This 477-nucleotide ribosomal RNA is filed under the name uncultured bacterium. RNAcentral describes it as "SSU rRNA". It matches the Rfam family "Bacterial small subunit ribosomal RNA", at positions 26 to 521 of the family's 1533-position model. The record is from RNAcentral.
AGGAUGAACGCUGGCGGCGUGCCUAACACAUGCAAGUCGAACGUCCUGUCUCGCAAGAGGCAGGGAGUGGCGGACGGGUGAGUACCACGUGGGUUAUCUACCGUGAGGUGAGGAAUACCGGCGAGAAAUCGCCGACAAGACCGCAUAGGCUCGAUGCAAGUCGAGCAAAGCUCGCUCGCAAGAGGGAGCGCCACACGAGGAGCCUGCGCCCGAUUAGCUGGCUGGUGGAGUAAUGGUUCACCAGGGCGACGAUCGGUAGCUGGUCUGAGAGGACGAUCAGCCACACUGGGAUUGAGAACGGCCCAGACUCCUACGGGGGGCAGCAGUGAGGAAUUUUCGUCAAUGGGGGCAACCCUGAACGAGCAACGCCGCGUGCAGGAAGAAGGUUUUCGGAUCGUAAACUGCUUUUCGCGGGAAGAGAACGGACGGUACCCGAGGAACGAACGCCCGGCUAACGUACGUGCCAGCAGCCGCGGU